CGGCAGCACGGGAGCAAUCCUGGUGGCGAGUGGCGAACGGGUGAGUAAUACAUCGGAACGUGUCCUGUAGUGGGGGAUAGCCCGGCGAAAGCCGGAUUAAUACCGCAUACGCUCUACGGAGGAAAGGGGGGGAUCUUAGGACCUCCCGCUACAGGGGCGGCCGAUGGCAGAUUAGCUAGUUGGUGGGGUAAAGGCCUACCAAGGCGACGAUCUGUAGCUGGUCUGAGAGGACGACCAGCCACACUGGGACUGAGACACGGCCCAGACUCCUACGGGAGGCAGCAGUGGGGAAUUUUGGACAAUGGGGGAAACCCUGAUCCAGCAAUGCCGCGUGUGUGAAGAAGGCCUUCGGGUUGUAAAGCACUUUUGUCCGGAAAGAAAACCUCUGCCCUAAUAUGGUGGGGGGAUGACGGUACCGGAAGAAUAAGCACCGGCUAACUACGUGCCAGCAGCCGCGGUAAUACGUAGGGUGCAAGCGUUAAUCGGAAUUACUGGGCGUAAAGCGUGCGCAGGCGGUCCGCUAAGACAGAUGUGAAAUCCCCGGGCUUAACCUGGGAACUGCAUUUGUGACUGGCGGGCUAGAGUAUGGCAGAGGGGGGUAGAAUUCCACGUGUAGCAGUGAAAUGCGUAGAGAUGUGGAGGAAUACCGAUGGCGAAGGCAGCCCCCUGGGCCAAUACUGACGCUCAUGCACGAAAGCGUGGGGAGCAAACAGGAUUAGAUACCCUGGUAGUCCACGCCCUAANCGAUGUCAACUAGUUGUNGGGGNUUCAUUNCNUUAGUAACGAAGCUAACGCGUGAAGUUGACCGCCUGGGGAGUACGGUCGCAAGAUUAAANCUCAAAGGAAUUGACGGGGACCCGCACAAGCGGUGGAUGAUGUGGAUUAAUUCGAUGCAACGCGAAAAACCUUACCUACCCUUGACAUGUAUGGAACCUGGCUGNNAGGUCGGGGUGCCCGAAAGGGAGCCAUAACACAGGUGCUGCAUGGCUGUCGUCAGCUCGUGUCNUGAGAUGUUGGGUUAAGUCCCGCAACGAGCGCAACCCUUGUCCCUAGUUGCUACGCAAGNNCACUCUAGGGANACUGCCGGUGANAANCCGGAGGAAGGUGGGGA
RNAcentral lists this ribosomal RNA (1111 nucleotides) under Paraburkholderia sp. Its description in RNAcentral is "bacterial SSU rRNA". It matches the Rfam family "Bacterial small subunit ribosomal RNA", at positions 67 to 1179 of the family's 1533-position model. Lineage: Bacteria; Pseudomonadati; Pseudomonadota; Betaproteobacteria; Burkholderiales; Burkholderiaceae. The record is from RNAcentral.